RNAcentral lists this ribosomal RNA (428 nucleotides) under Tsukamurella sp. Its description in RNAcentral is "bacterial SSU rRNA". It matches the Rfam family "Bacterial small subunit ribosomal RNA", at positions 27 to 457 of the family's 1533-position model. Lineage: Bacteria; Bacillati; Actinomycetota; Actinomycetes; Mycobacteriales; Tsukamurellaceae. The record is from RNAcentral.
GGACGAACGCUGGCGGCGUGCUUAACACAUGCAAGUCGAACGGUAAGGCCCCUUCGGGGGUACACGAGUGGCGAACGGGUGAGUAACACGUGGGUGACCUGCCCUGUACUUCGGGAUAAGCCUGGGAAACUGGGUCUAAUACCGGAUAUGACCUUCCUCCGCAUGGGGGUUGGUGGAAAGCUUUUGCGGUACAGGAUGGGCCCGCGGCCUAUCAGCUUGUUGGUGGGGUAAUGGCCUACCAAGGCGACGACGGGUAGCCGGCCUGAGAGGGCGACCGGCCACACUGGGACUGAGACACGGCCCAGACUCCUACGGGAGGCAGCAGUGGGGAAUAUUGCACAAUGGGCGAAAGCCUGAUGCAGCGACGCCGCGUGAGGGAUGACGGCCUUCGGGUUGUAAACCUCUUUCAGUAGGGACGAAGCGCAAGU